AGUCACAGGCCUGCAGCGCGCACUGGACCCCAGGGAGUCUGCAUAACCGGAUCUGCUCAGCCGAGCGCCACACUUAACACUGAUCAACAACCGCACACUUGCACGACAGCUUCCGAGUCCUACCCCCAGGCGCUCCCAGCACCUAUGGCUCAGAUUCCCAACCGGACGCUGAGGCAGAGGAACUUCACCAAAGGCUGGGAAGGAGGAGGAACAGGAGCGGAGGCAGAAACCAGGAUAAUACAGUUGGGUACGCUCUCCACUCCCGAUCACACAGCCUCCCAGGGUGAAGCCGCACUUGCCUUGAACGUUUAGCAAACAAAAACACAAAGACCAAGCAAUGCAAAUAAAAAAAAUCCAAAACAACAAAACACCGGACCAGGAAUAUUAAACGAUAUCCUUCCCUACGCUGUCUCCACUUAAAAUCUGGGCUCUCGCACAAGGAGCGCGAGACAGAAGCACAUCAGUGCCGUGACCGGCUGGGACACUAAGGAGAGCCGCCCUGAAUGAGUUUGGUUUUUCUUUUACUCCCGUACCACAAGACACGCCGGGAUCAGCGCAGCACAGCCGUGCUGCUGACUUUAACCCUUUUACUUGAUGCUGCUUUGACACGGUUGAUAAGUUUCUAGAACAGGGACAGAUCCCGUUGUGGCUGUGUGCGGCUGGGACACCGCUAAGGACACCCCACGCUGCCCAGGGACAGCCCGCGCGCGGGGAGCGCAGCGUCUCGCUCGCCCGCCCGGGCUCGGGGCGGCCCGGCCCCCGCAACCAUUCGCACGGUUUCCACCGAGGCGGGUCCUGAGGAAAUCCUGGCAGUCGGACUACGACCACCGAGUCGGGGAGGGGGGCUGUCACCCGCGCAGACCCCUCAAGGCGUUUGAAGGGAAUGUCAAAUGCGGGUGCGGACCCUUUGACUCGUCAGUGGGGAUCCACGCGCUUUUUGAUCAGCGCUGUCUUCCGCGGACCCCUUAGAGAUGGUCCGUGCACCCCGGGGGUGCCUGGACCACAGGCUGAAAACCACCGCUCUACAUUAGUGUCAGCAACAAAGCAACUGCCUUCUUCAGAUGGCAAGUGAAAUAUGUGUUCAUGGGUAGAGCUCAAAGUACUUUACCCCGUUUUACAGAUCAGGAAACUGAGGCAGAUCUAUCAAGCAGUUUGCCUAGAGUCACCCAGCAGGUCCAAGACAGAGCCAUGAAUAUAACCCAGGUCUCCAGGAUCCCAGUCCAACACUUUGCCCAUUAGACAACACAGCUCUUCUUUCUUCUGAGACUCGUCAUGUGUCACAUAGUUAAUGUGUGCAGCGUGUGCUGUGUCCGCAGAAGGAAGGUGCUAUGGAAAGGUUAAAAUAAAGGAUUAUUAAUUGUUAUUGUUAGGAAUCACGUUAAGGUGUCUAUAGCAUGGGGGCAGCGACCGUGGUGGCAAGGAGCUGGCUCACUGGAGGUCGUGCUCUGCCACAAUACUAUUUCAUGGUCUUUGGUGUGUUUCCUAUAAAUGACUGGAGAUUAUGCAGUUUGCUGCAUGUCAUCAGCAUGCAGUGCUGUAGCUGAACAGAAACGCGGACCACGUCUGAACACAGUGAACAGUUCAGUUGCCAGCCUUUUCCCAUAGCUCCUCAUGCCCUGGCACCAUGCAAAUAUGCUCUUUUUUUUGUCUUGCAUCAACACAAAACCUCAUUCUCUUUCCCUUCCCACAAUUGCUGCCUCGCACCCGAGUGAUACAUGGGGGCCAGUCGCAGCAGAUUUGAUAUUUGAGCUUGGAGGGGGCAACCUUCAUCCACACCAGGGCAACCCCAAAGACAGCCUGCCUCUCCUACCGCCACGGCAUUAUGCCCUGAAUCAGCAGGUGCAGCCUGCAGGCUGGAUCCCCACUGCAAAGGGUCCAGCAGAGGUAGAGCUACAUUCAGGGAAAUGUGGGAAACAACACAGGGAAAAAUCAAUAUGAGAACUGUCAAUUUAAAGUGUUGUGAGAAGUUGAUAGUCGGCGAAUAAAGUUUAAGCACAGCAUCGCUCUGUGACUAGCUCCAGGAACAUCCUCUCUCAAACACCGUCCAUUUGGAGCUUUCUUGUGCCCUCUUCUGGGUAGCCUCAGUCUCUGCAGCAAUCUUUAUUUAGUAGCAGUUUGCAAGAGAUGUAUUAGUGGCUCCUAUGCAAUUCCAACUUCAAUCUUCUGUAUGUCUCACUUCAAAGUCUAGGAUUUAAAGAGACAGAUCUGGCACCAGGUGACACUUGGGGCCACAGGUAUGUUCCUAGGAAGGGAGAGGCUGUCUCCAAGGGGUUUAAGCCAGGAGAGGGCUGCUGUAAGUCCCAUACAGGGGCUACAGAGGUGUCUGGUUGAAAUAAUAAAUCAUGACAACACGCAGCUGCCGUUCCAUAACAGCGUGCCCUGUUCAGUGGCUCUUCUACCUCCCUGCAGGCUCUACAACUGUAGAGGACCUUGUGCCUGUUUUCUGCUGAUAGGCCCCCAGCAGAUAUCCUACCACUUUGUGAGUGAAUCUGGACCAUAAUAACAGCCUGAGCAGAGGGCUUGGUUGACAUCAGCGUAUCUAUUCUCCAUGGUUUUGCCAUUAAAGACAUGAUACUGUUGGGUUUCUUAACCACUGCUGCACUAACUUGAUUCCAAUCUGGGAAUUAACCUGGACAACGUAUUUGAUUCCUGUACUGUAAUUUUUGUAAGACCUUUAAGAUUACCAUGGAAAUCUAGGCAAAUAUCUAUCCACAUAUGUGAAACUGCUGUAGCUAAAUUGGAAUAAAUUGCAGGGGUACUGUUA
Alligator mississippiensis (American alligator) is the source of this 2764-nucleotide long non-coding RNA. RefSeq lists it as uncharacterized. The record is from RefSeq and is a predicted model, not a curated record. The transcript has 2 exons. NCBI's taxonomy places the organism in Eukaryota, Metazoa, Chordata, Crocodylia, Alligatoridae.